UUCAACAGAACCACAUUCUUCACCGUUUCCUGUUUCUCCUGUAUGUUUUAACGUGGCUGGUGUCAGUCGUGGCUUAUGCUGCAGGUCUCUGCCUAUCUGAAAACGCACUGGUCCGACCCGAUAGACCACGUUGGCUGAUUUACGGGCUACGCAGGAAUCGAAACCCGUGUGGUCCUGGAAGGUAGAAAAGCCCCAGUAGUAGAACAAAUGACCAACUCGGGGCGAAAACGGUGCCUCGGGCUGAAACGGUGCUGGGGACGAACACGGCAGAAAAGGCGGGUAAACAUGCAAAUGGACCUUCCUUUAAUGGACCGUCGGCCACACCUGCCCGGAGCCAUCUGUUCUGGUUCAUGCGUAGCGACAGCCGCGCAGUGAUCCUCAGGCCAAGAACCACGAGAACAAAGUGUUCUCAGGCGAGUGUGGUGUUUGGGGUGAUUUCGCUCGAGCAAACCUUUAAAGCGGUUAAAGAACGCGCCGCACUGCAGCAGCCGCAGCACACGGCGGCUCGUGUGAAGAAGCGAACGGGAGAGCGUGGCACCAGACAAAGGCCACGCCGUGCCCGCCUCGCCCGUCACUGCGGCUCCGCACGUCGGUGGGAGCUUCUGGGCGGCACAACGGCGGUUUCCAGAUAUAACCCGGGCUCAAAUGGCAGCCAACACGUACGCCUCGACAGCUGGACGAGCACACGGCCAGAGACGGGCUGUAGCGCGGCACCAGGAACAGCCCAGCACGUGUUCCGGCCGGCGCCCGGCCGCACGCUCCGCUCCUGCCGAGCUGGACUAGCAAGACGGCUACUGAAAAGCCAAACGAGAGCGUAGAACAGAGACGGAGACCUGCUCUGAGGACAUAAGUCGACAAAGAUGCCAAGCACGGUGGUAAAGAGACGGGAGGGAGGGAGUCACGACUGAAAAGCAGCUAGAGGUGGUUACUCGCGGGCGGUGGGUAAGUCAUGGAGCAGCCACGGGAAACCUGCUCACGAACACGCCUCAGCGACACACAGGGUGAGGGAGGAAGCUGAGAGCGAGUGAGUUUUUCUUUUUUUUCUGCUGCCAAUGAGAGGAGGGACUUUCAGGCUGUUGUUUCACAUUCUACACAUCGGAGCCUGGAUGACCGGGUGGGGAUGGUAACAGGGUGCUCGUCUCUCCAGCCCUGUCUCCCAGGGGACCAGCAGCAGCUCUGCACACAGACAGCGACACUAAACCCACAAAGUGUGUGUUUUGUUUUACAGCGUCUUAUAGACAGAUUCCAACUAUACUAACACCAGUUGAAUAGAGAAAAACAACCAGAGCUGUUGGGUUUGUUCUUUUCGCUUCUCUACAGUCGUGCUCAUGUGUUCUGUAAAGUCUUAAACUGUAACUGUGUAAAGGGACUUGAAAUGAAUUUGUGAAAUGGUGCUUCACAAACUUAGAUCAACUAAGAGUUUGCAGCAGGACAAAGAUUUUGAAUAGACUAACGAGGGGCAGAUUUACCGGCAUCACUGCUGCACAAAGGGACAAUUCAGAGACAUAUGAUACAUGAAAAGAGAUUCCUAAGAAUGAGACGAGGAAAAACCUCUUAUCAAAAGAUUUCUUGUGUUUCCAGGUCAGAAAUGACAAAAAUGUGAAAGUAUGGUUUAAUCUUCUUUCCAGUGAACAUAGUGAAAAUAUCCUCAGCACUGCAGAAAGAAACGUGAAUGCAUGCAGAGAUUUCCAUGUUUUCAUAGUUUUUUAUUCAUGGAAAGAGUUUCGUUACGCUCUUAGUUUCAGGAGAAACAGGUGAAACUGUGAGAAAAACUCUCAGCCUGCGAGACUUUCCCUCUCAUCGCAUGUUCAAACAAUAUUUGCUCUGGUUUUGCUUCGAAAAUAUCAGCGCACAUGUGCGUCCUCGUCCUCAACACGGACUCUGUGUGCACAAUAAAAAUGAACAUCUGUGAUAGCAGUAGUCAAAGGGCGAGAAAGCAAAAUACACAAAAUGACAAAAUAAUGAGUCCACCACCAAAAGAGUGCAAAAACUAAACAGCUGUGUUGUAGAAAGCAAGCAGAGGGAGCAUUUAUUUAGAAACUUUAUUUCUGACUUUACACGUUUGUCACCUAAAGAUUAUGUUUCAAAUCCGUUGCGAAUUAAAGCCCUGAACAAAUCACAGCACAUAUAGAAUAUUGUUAACGACAUACAUUUACAUCAGAGGUCUUUAGUUUCUUACUGGGUGUUUCGCAGCAACACGUGAUGUUAGUAGGCUCUCGUUUUAAUCUUAUUUUAGUGGUUUAGGCAACGACAGGUCAUUAUAAAAACAAAAUACAAAUAGUUUGUCAUUAGCACCGUUACUGUUAUUUUUCUGGGAUCAGCGCCGUGUCCCGUUAGUAGCGACUACGACUUGAGAAACUGCUGCUGCUGGAAGGAGGAGCUUAGAUGAUGAGGUCUUUGUCCACGUCCUCUGCAAAGACACAAAGCCGUAAAAAUUUAGUCACGGUGAUGACGUCAUUUCUGAAGAGCACAGUUAUUUAUGUUAUUUAUUGCUUCAUGAAGUUUUUCUGCAUAUUCAGAGGUGUUAGUGUGUAAUAGUUUAGACUAACUUAUGGCCACACUCUGGCUCCUGAUUGGUUAAUUGGACAAUAUACAUUCUGGUCUGGUUCUACUCACGCUCCUUGAUGCCGAAGCAGUUGGCCCACUCCUCCAGGGCGAUGUAUUUGUCGUUGUCAGAGUCACACUGCUCAAAGAAGCGGGUGGUGCAGUGCUCCAUGGGAAUGAGGGGGGCGCGCAGGGGGGCGAGCUCCGUGUGGGUCAGGUACCUGGU
Betta splendens (Siamese fighting fish) is the source of this 2770-nucleotide long non-coding RNA. RefSeq lists it as uncharacterized. The record is from RefSeq and is a predicted model, not a curated record. The transcript has 2 exons. NCBI's taxonomy places the organism in Eukaryota, Metazoa, Chordata, Actinopteri, Anabantiformes, Osphronemidae.